RNAcentral lists this long non-coding RNA (951 nucleotides) under Solanum tuberosum (potato). RNAcentral's name for it is "long non-coding RNA (STUB_LNC002822)". The record is from RNAcentral. Lineage: Eukaryota; Viridiplantae; Streptophyta; Magnoliopsida; Solanales; Solanaceae.
GUAUAUAUAUAUUUUUUGUUUGGUUCCAUGGAUUAGUCGUAAUAUUGUUUUAAGGUUUCCAGACGGUUUGGCUCUUUUGUUUAAAUUAGUCACUUGGUUUUCUUUCUUUUUUAGUUUUAAAUCAUGUGCAUGGUUGUGCUAGUUAUGUCUUAAAACAAAUAGUCUUGCUAGUCUGUUGGGUUUAACAGUUAAAUGUUAGUUUUCGUCUGGUUGUUUGUUUGUAGAUGAUUUAUGUUUUGAACUAGUAUCCAUGUUUAUCAUCAUGUGUAUAGAGGGAAUAGAUUGUAUUAGGCGGUUGUGCAUUUAGUCGUUUUGAUCGUAAAUGAUAUCUUGGAAUCGUGUUCUUCAAAUAGCAUGCUUGCAAAUCUGUUUAUGUCUAAUUUUUCUUUGAAAAUAAAAUAAAAUUCUUUUACUUGUCCCCCGAUUUGUUGGUUGCGCGAUUAUUUUAGUUUCAGAAUGUAGCUAAGAAUGUUUGUUUAUCUUCCUCUAUUUUUUGAAGCAUGACUCGAUUUACUUUGAUGUUAUUUAAUGGUCGAAAAAUCUGGAAAUUUCAGUCAUGCUUCUAGUCACCUUGCACCCUCGUAUCCAUUUUACGAUAGAUUUUUUCCUCAUAAUCUAUGUUUUCUUUGGUAUCAUGCGAAUAUAUAUUUCUUUUCGGCAUAAGUUAAAGUGUGUUAUUAGCAUCUCUCUAUGUGCCCCCUUUAUUUGGUCAUUAUGCAUUUCCAUCUUUUGUUUUGGAAUAUUGUUUGGUGCCUUAAUCUCUUGAAUUUCAUGGAUUAGCUCGACCAAGGUAGUUUAUUUAAUUCCUAGUGGAUUGAAGAUAUUUUAGCAUAAUUUGGCAAGUCUUGAUGUUUAAAAUCAGUAACACUGCGUGAUGAUUUCUUGUGGCAUAGCUAUGUUUAUCUCUAAUUUUUCUUGCCAAAUAACUUGGUCACAUGGGUUUUUAUUUCG